Molecule: long non-coding RNA, 9694 nt
Filed under: Ananas comosus (pineapple)
Lineage: Eukaryota; Viridiplantae; Streptophyta; Magnoliopsida; Poales; Bromeliaceae
Description: long non-coding RNA (ACOM_LNC002598)
Source: RNAcentral
GAGGGAAGCAAGAAGAACCACCCCUGCUCCUCAUCUGCCUGCUACCGCAACCUGCAGCUCCUCAUCCAACACCUCGCCGCCUGCCCCCGCAGGAAAGCCUGCCCCCGCUGCUGCCGCAUGUUGCAGCUCCUCCGCCUCCACUCCGCCAUCUGCGACGACAGCACGCAACAGGCUUGCCGCAUCCCUCUUUGCUCGUAAGUCUCUACGCUGCUAUCGUAAAAGAAUUUGUUAGUUAAUGCUUUUAUCAUCCGCCUACGUUCAGGUGUAUCUGAGUCAUUUGGCUUUCAUAUGACUGAUGAUUGUUUAGGAAACAUUGGGAGGGAGUAUGCUGAGUUGGUGGUUGAUUGAUUUUAUAGUCUAUUUGGUACCACUUCUGUAUCUGUUCUCAGCAGCAGCAGCAGCAGUAUCAAGGAGAAAUUCUGGAGCUUCUGCUGUAGCGAGAAACUGAAAUUAGAUUUUCAACGUCAAAAACGAAUUACGUAAUGCUUCUUCUAAUAGCACGACAUCUAUUGGCAGUGUAAUCGCUCUAAUGUUUGGGGAGUUUGACAUAUUUUUCCUUUUCUUUUUGUUAGAGAACAAACUUAACCACUGAUGCCCUGCUUGUUGGGUUUUCCGUCUAUACCUGCAGGCACUUCAAGCUGAGAAUGCAGCAGCAGAAGGAAGAUUCUCAGCAGCAGCAGAAGGAAGGGAAAGAAGAGGACGACACGUGGCAGCUUCUGGUGAAGAAGGUGAAGGUUGCUCGAGUUAUGUCCUCCUUCUCUAAGAGGAAGGGACAGGAAGGAGUUCAUGAGCAAUUCGCCCUUUGCUCUACUACUGCAAAGACCAGUGACUAAUGUCAUGGAAAUUUUCUUUUUCCUUUUGUUCUUUCCCCCCUGUUAGUAAGGAAUUAAGAUGCGCCUUCCUUAUAAAGAGAGCAGCUCGAUGCACGUAUAUGCAUGCCAAUCUUCUAGAGAGAGAGUUCUUAGCUUGUUAAAAAAAGGAGCAUGCAGCUGUUAUAGAAGUGAAACUUGUAUUAGAUAAUAGUUUGGUGUGUGUAUAUGUAUGUCUAUCUUCUAGAGAGAGAAAGAGUUUUUAGCUUGUAAAAAUGGGGCAGGCAGCUGUUAUAGAAGUGGAACUUGUAUUAGAGAAGAGUUUGGUGUGUGUAUAUGUAUGUCUAUCUUCUAGAGAGAGAGAGAAAGAGUUCUUAGCUUGUUAAAAAAUGGUAGGUAGCUGUUAUAGAAGUGGAACUUGUAUUAGAGAGGAGUUUGGUGUGUGUAUAUGUAUGUCUAUCUUCUAUAGAGAGAGAAAGAGUUCUUAGCUUGCAAAAAUGGGGCAGACAACUGUUAUAGAAGUGGAACUUGUAUUAGAGAGGAGCUUGGUGUGUAUAUGUAUGUCUAUAUUCUAGAGAGAGAGAGAAAGAGUUCUUAGCUUGCUAAAAAAGGGCAGUAGCUGUUAUAGAAGUAGAACUUGUAUUAAAAAGGAGUUUAGUGUGUUUAUGUAUGUCUAUCUUCUAGAGAGAGAGAAAGAGUUCUUAGCUUGCAAAAAUAGGGCAGACAGCUGUUAUAGAAGUGAAACUUGUAUUAGAGAGGAGCUUGGUGUGUGUCUAUGCAUGUCUAUCUUCUAGAGAGACAGAAAGAGCUCUUAACUUGCAAAAAAAGGGCAGGCAGCUAUUAUAAAAGUGGAACUUGUAUUAGAGAGGAGCUUGAUGUGUGUAUAUGUAUGUUUAUCUUUUAGAGAGAGAGACUUCUUAGUUUAUAUAAAAAGGGGCAGGUAGCUGUUAUAGAAGUGGAAUUUGUAUUAGAGAGGAGCUUGGUGUGUAUAUAUGUAUGCCUAUCUUUCAGAGAGAAUCACUCCAGCUGUUAUAAAAGUGGAUCUUGUAUUAGCAUAAGAACAAUUAGUUACAUUUUGCAACUAACUUAAGAUAUAAUAUGCAAUAAGAAACUUAAGCUGAUCAUGAUUUUUAAAUAUAAUUGAUUCAUCGAAUGACGAACGUACAAAUGUCUUUUUGGAUGCUUAGCAUAGUAUUUCGCUUUUGUUUACUCAAGAGUGUUGCAGUAAUUCUUGCAAUUGAUAGCCGAAAAAUGCGAUCAAUAUCUAUAACUAUAAUAUAUAAUAAAAAUAAAUGGGCUAAAAGACUCAAUUUUUAAUAAAAAUAAAAUAAUCUUUAUUUUUAUAAAAUAAGUUAUUAUUAAAUAAUUUAUUUUACCAUCCAAAUGAACCUUAAAAUUUACAUUUCCUCCGCAUUUCCUGGUAAUGAAGCUGACCCUAGUUUUCUCCAUGCAAAUCAGGUUAGAGUCGAUAGAUCAGAAUGUCGUAAUCAAAUUACAAUCUUUGAAGUUUCCCUAAUGAAAGAGAUCUCUAAGUUAAGAAAUUCGAGUCUAGUCUACAGUAAUUAAAGAUUAUUUGACGUGUAGAAUUAGGUAUGCAUGUCAGCAAUGACUAAGUUGAAAAAGUCCAUUAGUACGUUCUAUUAAUUUAAUUCAUCGUCACGCCUUUUACUUUAUGAACUUGACCACACGCCUAAUGACAGAUCAAUCACUCCAGAGAUCAUUUACGCGCUGAUGAAACAAUUUUUAUUUCAUUUAGCUGCUGAUCGCAAUUUUGUCCGAUGAAGCCGCCUUAGGAGGACCGGAAUUCGAGAAUUACGCAGGAGUAAAACUUAAUAAAGAGGUUUUCUUACUCCGAACUAUAACCGCCUAUUUGGUACAUUUGACUGAAAAUUGAGUUCCUAAUUUUCAACAAUUUAGUACGGUAGUCCAACGCAAAAUUCACGAAGUUUAAGUGAAGCCAAAGUAACUUCUGCCGUGAUCAAGAAGGACACGAGCCAACAGCUCAUCCGUGGCAGCAUUAGACCGACGGGCCACAGACGAGCAUCCUUGGCUUGGGGCAAAGCUUUGGCAGAGAGCGGAAAAGGUUCUGGUCCUUCACAGCCUCGGGUCGGGAUACAGCACGGCACGGAUACUAUAAUACUAUUGCCAGGCCAGACCGGCCUGAGCCUCUGGGCUGUGCUGGGCUGCUCCUCUGUGGCCCGACGGCCUGGCACGGCGGGAGGCCGAUCUUCAUACUUGGGAUAUUUUUUGAAUAUCCCAUCAACCAAUAUCUCAAUAAAUUCAUGGACCACAAUUUUAUGGAUGUACAGAUACAGCAGAUUUUAGUGUGUUCAGAUCGAGAUAUUUGGACAGCUUGCAACAACUAGUACUAUUUUUUUUUUUUUUUCCCCUCAAAAAAGAAAUAAUACUAAGGUACAUUUUAAUUUAUUAUGAUAAAAAUAUUAGAGGUUGAGAGGAUACCACCCUCCAUAAGUUUAGUCGAGUCUCUUUCUAAGCAGCGUCAGUUCUGACAUUUACGACUAAACUUCUAAUAGCCUGAUGAUAAUGUACACGUAACCUAUACACAUAACGUCCUAUCUUAAGAUUAUGACGUUCCAACUUGUGUCUGUGCCCAUAAGAUUUUUUCUUGGGCCAAGUGUUUAGAAUAGAUUUUUGAAAUAAAAGAAAUAAGGAAAGAAAAAAAAGAAAAAGACAUUGAGGUCGCUUCUGGCCCCAGCUUUUCAUAAAAUCUACACGCGCCGUGCUCGACCCGAAGGGACCAUGGAUUGCAGUGGCGAUAGAACAAUCUAAAUCUAAGCAUCCAACCCAUUUCAUUCAAUUUGAUCCUAGCCGUUGGAUUUCAUAGUGCUAAUUAAUGUUGCCAAAGAAUUAUUCGUUAAUUACUCGUAUUCUUUUUUUGUUAAUUGCCCGAAUCUUUUUUUUUGAAAAAUAAAUUUUCUCUUAAAAUAGUUAGUGUUGUGGGUUUAGAUCGAAAGAUUUAGACAUGACAGAAUGACCGGAUGGUCCACAGCUAGUGCAGUGCUCUAAGCAAUAAUUUAACAUUGCUUAAUUUGUCGUAUAGCCUGGCUAUUUAUACAUUCCAAAAAAAAAAUAAAUUUUACAACACAAGUUGUGUCGAUGCGUGUGGCUAUUUAUACAUUCCAAAAAAAUAAUAAAUUUUACAACACAAGUUGUGUCGAUGCGUGUGGCUAUUUAUACUUUCCAAAAAGAAAAAAUUUACAAUACAAGUUGUGUCGAUACGAGUGGCUAUUUAUACUUUCCAAAAAAAAAAAAAUUUACAACACAAGUUGUGUCGAUACAUGUUGUUCACAAAAUAAUAACAGUAAAUAUUUAUCUUUGUCACGCCCAUAUACUAUUAACUAUUUACUAAUUUAUAAGAAAAGUAUUAUUUUUUUAGAGAGAUAGGUAGCUUGCUACCUGCUUCGUUUAUUUUGUUUAAAAAUAAACUUAGCUGGAAAUGUGAAUCAACUAGGAUUCGAAUCUGGAUCUCGGGUACCAACCACCAAGUCCUUUGCCACUUGUUCUAGGGACGGUCGGUAAAAAAAAAAAAAAGUAAAUUUUAAAUCGUGUCAUCACCUUACGGUAGGAAAAUUAUACUAUGCUGAUAUUUUGUUGGUACCACACAACGCAGCAGGAACUUAAAAUCUUUGGAUCCUUUACUUCUUUUAAUCAAAUUCCAUUGCAGGUAUUUGCAAGACAUUAGUAAGUAUAAAAAAAUGAUAAGAAAAUGUUGAGAAGAUAUCUUGCCACGUCGGUAUAAAAGACAAAAUUUCAAAUUUAAUAUUCAAUGAUAUGGAUUCAUUACAAAAAAUGCGACAGAAUAAUUUGCCAAAUAUAAAAAGAAAAGGAGCUUAAUUUGAAGGAUUUUACAAUUGUAUAUUUUCUAUUACAAAUCUCUAUAUAUUAAUAAAGUUUCAUUCCUCACUCGAUGUGAGAGGAAUUCACCAAUUUUAAAUUUUCUUUAUGGUAUCAAAGCAGAAGGUCUUGAGUUUGAAUCACGCCAGGUUCCUAGCAUAUUAAUUUUCUCCUAUUUAAUUUAAGCCCACAUCAUAGGUCAACUAAAAAGUCUCGAAUUCAUGCGUGAAGGGGAGUGUAAACAUAACUGUGGCAAAGAAUUUAUACUGUGGUCCAAGGCCACUUAAGAGCCAAAAAAUCUUACUUUGAUCAGAGACAGGUUUGCCAAUAGCAUUUAAUUGAUCACAAAUCGACUUAAACUCUCGCAAAUAUGCAAAUAAGGAAGAUGUAUCAUUCUUUAUAUAUUGAAGUUUCGAAAGUAAUUCAAAUUCACGAGCCUGCGAAUUUGGAGAAAAUGUAUAUGCAAGAGCUUGCCAUACACCUGUUGAAGUCUUCACAUCUACAACAAGUCUCAGGACUUCUUCGGAGAGAGUUCUGGUGAUCCAAGUUUUCACUAGACGAUUCGUACGCGUCCAUGCUGUGAAAUCUGAAUUUUAAAUUUUGCUACUUUUGUCAGAUGAAGGUACUUCAUGAUGUGGUGGCUUUGAUUCUCCAGUGAUGAAACCAAGUAAAUCGCGACUCUCGAUUAAUGAUAAUACUUGUGUUUCCUACAGUAAAUAAUUGGCUGUGGUAUUAAUUUGAGAGAAAUGAAAUUAGCAACAUGGAGGUUGGAUAAAUAUGGAUAUUUGGAGGUUGAAGUCAGUAUCUUUGAGAAGGUGGUAGUCUUUCGGUAUGGCUCUGAUACCAUAAAGAAAAUUUAAAAUGAAUGAAUUCUUCUCACAUUAGGUGAAGGAAGAAAUUUUAUUAAUAUAUAGAGAUUUAUACAUGAAUGAAUAGAAAAUAUAUAAUUAUAAAAUCUUUCAAAUUAGGCUUUUUUUUUCUUUGUAUUUGACAAAUUAUCAUGUUGUGAUUUUUUUUUUAUAAUAAAUUUAUAUUAUUGAAUAUUAAAUUUAAAAUAUUGCCUUUCAUGGCCGGACAGUUGCAGUUGGUGCGGCCGGGAGGUGGGUCUGGGAGCUGAGCUGUCUGUUGUUUCGGAUCAGAACGGAGCCGCUGGCGUCCGCGUCAGCAGCUUCCGGGUCGGGCGGCUGGCAGCGGGGACGGAGUCGCUUCGGCGCUCCAANUCUCUCUCUCUCUCUCUCUCCCUCUCUAAUCGCCCCUUUGAGCCCCCCUUAAUAGCUUACGUCACUAAUGAAAUCAUCACCUACUAGCAAAGCCGGUUAGUCGGUGAGAGGACAAAUCGCAUUUAGACCCUCUGACCCUUCCGAAUGUUGCCAUUAUAGAUCCCUCUUGUAUUAAUCUAUAUUUUUUUUUCAAAUGUUGCCAUUAUAGAUCCCUCUUGUAUUAAUCUAUAUUUUUUUUUCAAAAAAAAAUAUAGUAAACCAUCUGUUCUAUUUUUUAAAAAAAAUAAAUUAAGUUAUAAAAAAAAGAAAGGUCGAGAGGGUGAGAUUGGACCCUAGAACAGUCUAUCACAGCUAGACCAAUCUUUACCGCAGAUUAUCCAAUCUCCUAUCCGAGUAAAUAUAUUGUUUACGAUCUGUAAAUAUGAUUUCUUUUGAUGUUUGAUUGUUCAGAAAUUCUGUUAUUUCUUUCUAACUAGAUCGUCCGCUACGAGGAUGUAAGCACGGUAAGUUUCUCACUUCUUCUUUGUAUGUUUUGAAUUUUUUUUGUUAUCUUUUAAAGAUCACGUUCUGGUUGUGCAAUGUGAGUAUAGAAGAAUAUCUUUAAAAUAAACUUAUAUGAGUAAGGCUUACUUUGUGAUGUAUUAAUAAGCUUAUAUGAUAUUGUUAGAAUGCGUGUGUUAGUAUAUCAGUUUUCUCCAUAUCAUCAGUAUUAAUAUAUUAUAAUAGUAUUUUGAAAAACUUACAGUAAUAUUUAAACUUUGAAUAGUCAUAUAAGUUUCUGUGUUUAUUUUAUUAGUUGACUACGAAAAUCAAUUUUCUUCUCAAUUGUUUCAAACUUUUUCUUUUUUCCUGUUAAUUUCCUGUCACCUCUAAACAUGCAAUUAAUUAAUUAAUAAAAACAUAUAAGGGUACAUAUGCAAAUUUCCCCCAGAUUAAAAUCAAGCCUACUGGUGGGGGCGGGUCCUUCUGCAGCCUUUUUGCCCUUCCCGCCAUUUCGGCUCCGCCUUUAUCUUUUAAGUUAAAUAUAAUAAAAUAAAUAAAUAAUCCAACUUUUUUCCCUUUUUUUUAAAAAUAUUUUUUAUUAUUUGAGUUACUUUGUCUUGGCCCCCACCCACUCUCUCUAUAUAUAUAGAGGCCAGAGGAAGGCCACAGUCCACAAUCAAAAGGAGAGGGAAAAAAAUCAUCACACGCAAACUCGCGGAGGAGAGAAAAAGGGAAAAGAGAGAAAAUUAAGUAGAGAGAUUCAUAGAAAAGAAAAAAAAAAAGAAAAAAAAAAAAAGAAGAUUUGUUUAGAAGAGAGAUGGACGCGAAGGGCGGUCGCGUCCAGAACGGAUUCCGACAGUGGCUGGAGGCGGGGAGCGACGCCAUCCCCGCUCCGGAUGUUCAAAUUUUGACCUCCGGUGGCCGCAAAAUUUCCGCCCAUUCUGCAGUUCUUGUGAGCACCCGAAACCUUCAAUUGAAAAAACAUUCAAAACUUUAUGUACUACAAUACAAUUAGAUACUCUCGAAUCGCAGAAGCUCACUGAGCACACAAUCGAUGUCUAAUCAUAUGCACUUUUUUUAAAAAGUAUUAAAUUUAUAUUUGUUUGUUUAUUUGUUUGUUUGUUUGUUUGUUUGUUUACAGGCCGCGGCGUCGCCAGUGAUGGAGAGUAUAUUGGAUCGGGCACAAAAGCGUGGAAAAUCGCGCAGGGUUAUUAGGAUUCUGGGAGUCCCCGAUGACGCUGUAAUGGCGUUUGUGCGGUUGAUCUACUCUUCUGGGUAUGUGUUCUUUUUUUUACCUUUUUUCCCUUCUUUUUUUUUUGGGGUUAAAUUGAUUAUAUUUAAAUAUUUAGUUAAAGAAAGGAAAAGUAAGUCUAAUGCAUUGAGGACCCUAUGUUUAAGGAGAAAUUAUUGCCCUGUAUCGUGAUGUAGUACCAUGCUCUGCUUUUAAUUAAAAAUAUUUUAAAUUUCGUUUGAUUCGGAUAUUAAUAAAAAUUAUUUAUUGUAGGAAUAGGUGCGAGUUCCAUUAUAAGCAAGAAUUAGAGUAAAUUUUUGUUUGUCAUUAUUUCUGAAAAUAAAAUAAAUAAUAUUUAAAUAGGUUUCAUUUGAUUCGGAUAUAAAUAUGAACUAUUUAUUGGAGAAAUAGUUACAAAUUCCUCUAUAUGCUGGAACUAGGGAGGGUUUUUUGGGAUUGUUUUUAAAAAUAAGAUAAAUAGUGUUUGAAUGGGUUCCGUUUGGUUCGGAUAUAAACAAGAACUACUUAUUAUAGGAAUAGAUACGAAUUCCGCGAUAAGCAAGAAUAAGGGUAAGUUUUUUUUUUGAAAUUAUUUUUGGGAAUAAAAUAAAUAGUGUUUGAAAAGACUUUGUUUGGUUCAGAACAGACAAGAACUAUUUAUUGUACGGAUAGGUAUAAGUUACGGUAUAAGCAGGAACUAGAGUAAGUUUUCAUUUGGGCUGAUGCACGGCUAAGCUGGUGCAUCGGGUGCUCGCAAUAAUUUCUCUUUGGACCCAUGUAAUCAUCAUGCUCAUCGUUAUCACAUGCACUGUUCGAAACUAAAGAAAAAAAAAUCAAGGGUCCAGAAUCUUUCUGAUGGCUCUGAGAAUUUCACAUUUCCCUGUCGAAAAUUAUUAUUUUUUAUUUUUUUUAAUAUUUAACUUAAUUCUUAGCUGGGGGUCCCACGCAACUCUUAUGUCGUCCCCUUCAUCCAAUCACAGCCCUCACACGGUCCAUUUCGUUCUAAUGAUGAUAGGCAUAAUAAUUGACUCAACACCACCGAGAAAUUUCGAGAUAUUUUUUUCGUGCUUCAGAUUUUUUUUUGGGGGUUCAUGUGCCACGAUGCAUACAUAAUGCAUAGUCACAAUAAUUUUAGUUUUUAUUUUUUUCACUUCAUUAAGGUAAUGAAGAGUACACAAAUUUUGGAUGUGACUGAAUAUCAAUGAAUAAUAAAAAAUAAAUUAAUCAAUCAAUAUAAGCAUUUUACACACCGUUUAUAAUAAAAUAUUAUAUUAAAUUUAAUCCGAAUGCUGAACUUAUGGCAUACUGAGUAGUACAAACGGAUCAUGUCAUGUCAAUCAGGUGCAUGUCGUUGGACGAGGAGGAGGAGAUGGGCAGGUACGGGCUGCACCUGCUGGUGCUGUCGCACGCGUACAGCGUGGGGUGGCUGAAGCGCGCGUGCGAGGUGGCGCUGGCGUUGCGGCUGACGGCGGAGGGCGUGGUGGACGUGUUGCUGCUGGCGCGGCAGUGCGAUGCCGCGCGGCUGUACCUCCGCUGCAUGAAGCUGCUGGCGAAGGACUUCGCCGCCGUCAAGAAGACCGAGGCCUGGCAGUUCCUCCAGGCCAACGACCCCUGGCUCGAGCUCGAAAUCCUCCAGUUCCUCCAGGAGGCCGAACUGGUACGUGACCAAAAUGUAUUAUGUUUGGUUUUGCCGUAGAAUAUAGUAAUUUUUGACAAUUCAUAUAAAUAAAUAAAUAGAUAGAUAAAAAGAUAUAAAAUUUAUCUGAAUGAUGAAUUAUUUUAAUAGAGAAAGAAGCGAGUUGGGCGCAAGCGGGCGUACCGGCGGGUAUAUGAAGAGCUGGGGGACGCGAUGGAGUGCCUGCAGCACAUGUACAUGGCCAGAGAGGGAAGCAAGAAGAACCACCCCUGCUCCUCAUCUGCCUGCUACCGCAACCUGCAGCUCCUCAUCCAACACCUCGCCGCCUGCCCCCGCAGGAAAGCCUGCCCCCGCUGCUGCCGCAUGUUGCAGCUCCUCCGCCUCCACUCCGCCCUCUGCGACGACAGCACGCAACAGGCUUGCCGCAUCCCUCUUUGCUCGUAAGUCUCUAUGCUGCUUU